CUGCAAGCUUCUUUUGGUGGACAAAAAAAUCACCAACGCAAGGGAUCUUAUCAAUGUUUUGGAGGAGGCCAUAAGAGGUGCAUACCCAAUUCUGAUAAUUGCUGAGGAUAUUGAGCAGGAGGCUCUUGCUACUCUUGUUGUCAACAAGCUUAGAGGGUCAUUGAAAAUUGCCGCUAUCAAAGCCCCUGGUUUUGGUGAGCGCAAGACCCAGUACUUGGAUGAUAUUGCCAUUCUAACUGGAGCAACUGUAAUCAGGGAUGAAGUUGGGCUGUCACUUGACAAGGCAGACAAAUCAGUUUUAGGAACGGCUGCAAAGGUGGUCCUUAACAAAG
This 332-nucleotide unclassified non-coding RNA is filed under the name Hevea brasiliensis (rubber tree). Lineage: Eukaryota; Viridiplantae; Streptophyta; Magnoliopsida; Malpighiales; Euphorbiaceae. The record is from RNAcentral.